CCAAGGACAAAAAACCAAACACCGCAUGUUCUCACUCAUAGAUGGAGAAACAGAGGGAAGAAGAGACUUGGAAUCACUCUGUCCUGGCUGUGGGUCUAUGAAAAAGAAUGUGGCCUACUGCUAAAUACAUUGAUUUUGAAGCUAGAUAGCUCUGGUUUUGGGGAGCAAGUGAUUUGAUCUCUCAGAGACUCAGCUACUUCAUCAGUAAACAGAGAUUACCAUAUCCACCAGUAAUGGCUAUAGGAGCAGUAAUAGGGAUGAUAUAGGUGAAAGCACUGAUCACUGAAUGAUUCCAAAGACAGGUGCAGAGAGGUUCAGGCAUCAGACAGGCUACCUGGAUCCAAAUCCCAGCUCCAUCAUUUACUACUUUCAUGGCCUUUACAAACCACUAAACUUCUCUCUGAGCUUCAAUUUUCCCAUCUGUAACAUGGGAACUAAUAAAAUGAAACCUUCCUAAUAAAGUUGCCAGGAAGAUUCAUUGAGACAUUGAAUGUAAAGUAUUUAACUCAAUAUAGAGCACAGGGGAGCACCAAAUAAAAUUCAGGUGUUACAUUUUUAAGCACGUGUUCACCAAGGCUCCCAAUUCAGGUGGUGAGGAUUCUAUGAUGAUCAAUUCCUCCUAAGGUAUUUGUAAAAUGACCCACCAGAUUACCAACCAUUCCUGUAUUUCCAGAACCCUUUGGAGUCCUUUAUGUAACCUGGGAGAGCUGUUAUUCUUUUUUCUUUUUGGUAGAAGUGAAAUCCUGCAGGAAAACUUGCUCCAUUUUGGUUAUUUCUGUUAUAUCACAAGGUGGGCUGGAUAGCAAGUUUUGGAAGCACUGAACACCCACACGGAGCUGGCUCCUCUCAGGCGGGGAGGCAUCUUCACUAAGGAGAGGUGCAGUCUGUGUCCCCGUCCUUGACUCUGAGAAUCCCUGUGAUCAACAGAAUGCAGAAAAGUGACACUGCAUGGCUUCUGAGGCUAGGUCCAGAAAAGGUGAUGCAGCUUCCCCCUUUGCGCUGAAAUGCAGUGCUUGGACCUCAGAGCUAUUGACUAAGAAGUCCAUGCACCCUGAGCUUCUCAUGCUGGGGAAGCCACGUGUAGGCAUUCAGUUCCCAGCCCAGCUGAGCUCCAUCCUGGCUGCAACAAUUGUUCUCAUGAGGAAGCCAUCUUGGACACUCAGCUCCAUGGAGCCUCCACGAGUCGCCAGCCCCAACUGACAUCUGUCUCACUGCAACCACAGAAGAGCCUCCAACCAAGAACUGCACAGCUGAACCCUUUCUAAAUUCUUGAUCUCCAAAAAGCCAUGCACAAAAUAAAAUGGUUGUUUUGAGCCACUAAACUCUGGAACCUCGAGUAGGGGAGAAGUUCCUUUGGGUAGGUGUCAUUUUCCUAGGCUACCAUUCAUUUUCUCUUAUUUUGGUGAUAGCAGUCUGAUUUAUGUGUGUGGGUGGGUCGGGGGUAACCCUGAUCUUAAGUCAUGUAGUUCAGGUGCCUCCUGGAUGUGCCUGCCUAACCAUCAUAUCCCCACUACGGUACGGUGUUUGUAAAGAGUUGAGCAAAUAAUCCAGGACAGACCACUGAGAUUCUGCCUUGUGACUUUUGUUAAAAUUAGUGAGAAAAAGUCACUCUCGGGGCAGGCUGGAGUAAAGAGGGAUUGCUAAAUAGAUGCUAGGUAGGCCUGAAACUGCUGGGGGCCAAUUUAUUAUGAAGCAGGAAGAACCUAAUAAGGAAUAAAGUUACUCUGGAGGAAAGCCAAGCAAAGGAGGGUGAGAGACAGCUUCCUGAUGAGACUAAGCUUUGGACCCAGUUUUGCCUGGAACUUCGGCAGGCUGUUUUAGUUUCGUAAGUUAAUACGUACUCCUUUUUGAUUAAGCUAUUUCAGAGGUGUCACUUGCAUCUGAAAGAUUCCUAAUACAGACAGGUAAGAUCAGGUCAUGGAGGGCUUUGUGCCCUGUGAUGGUAAAGUUUUACUUUAUUCUGUAAAGAAUGAGAACUAUAUUUUAAUCAGGAGCAGGAUGAUGAGAUGUACACUUUAGCAAGACACCUGAAUGCACUGAGAAGGGAUAUUUUGGUGUUAGGAACAGGGAAAUGGACUAGGAGUAUAUAGUGUUAGUUUAGGACAUUAUGAUGCCAACUAAUAUAGCUGGUGGGAUUGGAUAUGCAAUUUGAGAAAUAUUUAAAUCAUGGAAUCAACACAAUUCAGACAGGUUGGGUGGUGUUGGGAUAAGGAAGAGAGAAGAAGCAAGGAUGACUUUUAGAUGGAUGGCUUAUAUACAAGCUGGACUAUGUAUCACUAAAGAGAAUAUUAGCUCCAGUUUAUGUCUGAUGACUCAGAAGUUAAACAACCUGCCCAAGGUUGUGUACCUAGUAAGAGCAGAACCAAUCAGGUCUUUAGGCUCCAAGACUUUCAUUCUUUGAAUUGUAUCAGGCCACUCACUGUGUUGAGGCCGCCAUGUGCACUGCAUUCCCAAGAAAUCAUAGCACAUGGGGCUGCUUGUUGUUCAGCACAUCAGGAGGAAGGCAAAAUUAUUAAUGCUUUCUUUUGGUCUCCUUGCUGUGUCUGACUUGCUACCAAACAAAACCUCUGCAGCAGGGCAUUUGUACUAUUCAGGUUUUCUUGGCUGACUUAUCAGCAUUUGUGAAAAGUACAGACGAUUUUGUUCCAGCCUUUCUGCAUUCUGACUUCAGAAGCUGAUUACAGAUGCAGAAACAUGAAGGGAGGUGAAAUCUAUUUCCCAAGAUGGACUAUGGAUUGGUUCUAAAGAUCAAAAGGGUGUGGCUUUUCAAUACAAACAACAAAGUCUGGGAGUUUUUGCACAGUGGAAGAGAAAGGCAAGUAGUAAGGGUGGCAAAGUGCUCAUUAGGAAGAAAAGUUAACAGGAAAACUUGGUUUAAAUCAAGGCAAGUAUGAAGAGAAGGUUAUCAACUUUAUGAAAAAGAGGACCAGAGAAGGCGAAGUGGCAAGCUGAGUGGCGAAUGCUGCUUAUCAUAUAUCCAGUUAAAAUUUCUUGGUCUCAUUCUUCACCAUUGUUAAAAUACUUUAACAUAUUUUAUAUACACUUAAAUAUCUGCUCCUUUCUAGUAAUAUAUUUUAUGUCUUUUACCAUCUUUGAGCCACAAUGAUCUCAACUGUGAAAUGGGAGCAGUAACAAAUUGCACCAUAAGAUUGUUGUGUUAAAUAAUGGCAUGAAUGUGCUUAGCCUGUUGCUUGUCACAUGGAAUCUGCACAGUUAAUGCUCAUAGCCUGUAACUCUUCCCAUCCUCUUCAGCAAGCUUUUAUUUAAUGACGCAGUUACGAAUGAGAAACUCCUGCAAGAAUGAUCAGUGUGCAUUGGAUAGAUGUUAAUUAGGUAGGACAGCCAGCAUUAUGUUCAUUUGAAGGGGAAAAAAACUGAGGUUUUCAGAGGUUAAGUAGCUUGCUGCAAAGUGCUUAGCUAUCAACAAAUAGGAGGUGGUUUUCUCCAGAGGGCCCCAGGUGAGAUGCACAGGUGUUACCCAGUGCAGACUUUUGGUCACCUUCACUUAACAUGGUGAUUGUUAUCAGAUGAGAAAGAAGACACCCUGGAAUUGAGAAAGUGCCAUACAAGAUGAGGCCAUUGCAAAGAGGAAAAAAGAGGCCCUGUGUGAGGCUAGGAAGACAGCACAACAAUGAGCCCAUGGCUUGCCAGGAAAGGAUCAGAAAUGGGAGGAGUGUUGUAGGCUAGUGGGACAUUCUCAAGCUUCAGAUCAGGUGAUUCUGUGCCCAAAUUAUCACUCCUCCAUGUAUUAUCUGUGUGACUUUGAACAAGGUUGUGUAACCUUUCUAAGCCUGUUUCUUCUUUUUUUUUGAUUUUUUUUUUUUGAGAUGAAGUCUCACUCUGUUGCCCAGGCUAGAGUGCAAUGGUGCGUAAUCUCGGCUCACUGCAACCUCUGCCUCCCAGGUUCAAGCAAUUCUCCUGCCUCAGCCUCCCUAGUAGCUGGGAUUACAGGCGAGCACCACCAUGCUCGACUAACUUUUGUAUUUUUAGUAGAGAUGGGUUUCACCAUGUUGGCCAGGGUGGUCUGGAACUCCUGACCUUGUGAUCCACCCGCCUCAACCUCCCAAAUUGCUGGGAUGGAUUACAGGCAUGAGUGGCCGUACCCAGCCUUGUUUCUUCAGUUCUAAAAUGGAUAUAAUAAUGUCUUAUUUAAUUAUCACUGUUAGUAUACAUUGACAUGUCUUGUAAAGUACCCAUCCAGUCCAAUUCCUUAGGAAAUGCUUAAUAAGUAAUAAUAAUUAUGAGCCUAAUUAUUGUUUUUAUUUUGGAGCAAGCCUUAGCUGAACAUUUUCCCUGUGGAAAAAGAUUGUUUGAAUGGGCAUUAACCAAUCUGGAGGGAUUUAUAACAUUUCAAAAAGACUGUUAUAAAACUAGGGAUAGUUUGCCAGAACUGAAAAUCAAUGCAUUUAAUGUUCAGCUGUUUUGAAUGAGGAGGUAGUGCAGGUAACAGACUCUUGGCAGCCCAUCCCCAUUCCUGUUUCAGUCCUGAACCCAGGCAUGGGCUUAAUGUGAGAGAUAGAAAUAGGGCAAUCGAUGACUGAGAUUCAGAAAUGGGGCAGAGCCGGAAAUGUCUGUUGUAAAUUAAUUAAUUUUAAAAAGUCAAUUAGUGAAGAUGUGUUUUUACAUUUUGAAGCCACUACUUCCCGACUUGUCUGGAAAGCCUGAGAUUAAGAAUCACACUUUGGAGGUAAGGGAAUACACUAGUCUGUUCUUGCCCUGCUAUAAAGAACUACCUGAGACUGGGUGAUUUAUAAAGAACAGAGGUUUAAUUGGCUCCUGGUUCCACAGGCUCUCUAGGAAGCGUGGUUGAGGAGGCUUCAGGAAACUUGCAAUCAUGCAGGCACACAUUGCAUGGCUAGAACAGGAGGAAGAGAGUGAAGGGGGAGGUGCUAUACACUUUCAAACAACCAGACCUCGUGAGAACUCACUAUUAUGAUAACAGCAAGGGAGGAAUUCACCCCCAAGAUCCAAUCACCUCCCACCAGGCCCCUCUUCCAACUUUGGGGAUUACAAUUUGACAUGAGACUUGAGUAGGGUCACAAAUCCAAACCAUAUCAUGGGACAAGUGAUUGAAGACUCAUCAUUCUGUUCUGAAUGAAUUUUAUGACCAACUUGCUGUGUAGAGGGAGACAUUUGCCAAAUUUCAUUCAUAAUGGGUUCUGCAUACAGAACAGCUCGGAUUCCAGUUAGCCAUUAUUAUUGUAUGAACUUGCAUGAGUCACUUAAAUAAUUUGUGACCCAAUGUACUCAUCUGUAAAAUGGAGAUGCUAAUGGUAACUUGUUUGUAGCCUUUUGUGAUGAUUAAAUAAGAUUACUUUGUAAA
This 5323-nucleotide long non-coding RNA is filed under the name Homo sapiens (human). RNAcentral describes it as "HSALNT0330076". The record is from RNAcentral. Lineage: Eukaryota; Metazoa; Chordata; Mammalia; Primates; Hominidae.